GGACUGUGCAAGAUUCUGGGGAUAGAGCAUGCAGCUAAAAAAGGCCCCUGUCCCAAUGAGUCAAAGGUAUAUCAAAACUCUGUACUACUCCACCUCUGUGGUUGAAGAUCAAGGGCUCAAGUACUGAGAAAGGCCACCAAGAAACCCAAGCAGUGUGACUCUUAAUACAAAACAAGAAAUUAAUCUACUGCUAGCUUAAAAUCUUCAAACGUUUGCAUUAAACUGAGGGGAUUCUACAAUGUGGCAGUUCCAGUUUAAAAGUGGAGACAGCUCUGAACAAACCAUGACAGUUUGCAUGGAACGGAGGGGUUCCACAUGCUAAAACCAGAAAAGUCCUGAGAAAACUGGGACCCAGUUUCUGGCUUAGGAAUGAAGUAAUCAGUCUAUGAGACAGGGAAGGCAGCAACAGGAACAGAUUCAGAUUUUGUAAUUGAGUUAAACACCUACGAUAGAUUAAAACAGCCACAAAAGAAAUUCUUUGCAGCUCUUUCCAUGAAGAGGAGGAGUCAAUUUCCCCACCCCUUGAAUCUGAGCUGAUAGAGACUUGGUUUGACUGAAUGAAAGAAAAUGACUUUGUGUGAAUUCCAAGCCUAGGCCUUGA
RNAcentral lists this long non-coding RNA (601 nucleotides) under Homo sapiens (human). RNAcentral describes it as "HSALNT0293655". The record is from RNAcentral. Lineage: Eukaryota; Metazoa; Chordata; Mammalia; Primates; Hominidae.